UUAAAUUGAAGAGUUUGAUCAUGGCUCAGAUUGAACGCUGGCGGCAGGCCUAACACAUGCAAGUCGAACGGUAACAGGAAGCAGCUUGCUGUUUCGCUGACGAGUGGCGGACGGGUGAGUAAUGUCUGGGAAACUGCCUGAUGGAGGGGGAUAACUAC
This 158-nucleotide ribosomal RNA is filed under the name Salmonella enterica. RNAcentral describes it as "partial 16S ribosomal RNA". It matches the Rfam family "Bacterial small subunit ribosomal RNA", at positions 1 to 150 of the family's 1533-position model. The record is from RNAcentral. Lineage: Bacteria; Pseudomonadati; Pseudomonadota; Gammaproteobacteria; Enterobacterales; Enterobacteriaceae.